AGACUGUUGAUGACUCUGAAAGGUUUCCCAAGGCUUUGUGAGGGAAGCAAGAGGAAGCACAGGAGGAACUGGUGACUCAGAGGCACAGUGGCAGCACAAAGGCUCCUCUACACCUCAGCUGAGCCUCAACUCUCCCCUCCCAGCGUUACAGCUCAAAGCUCAGGACAGAGUCAAACUGCUGCCAACACCUGAGGAAGCCCAGCUGAGGCUCAAGGCACGGCCACGGCCACGCCGCUCGGCUCAGGAGGAGAGAACACAGCCACUCACCCAGACAGGGUGCAAACAAAAACCAGGGGAAAACAAAGUCUGGAGGUCUGCCAGGAGUCUCCACGGGCAGCAGAGCUCACAGAAGUUUACUUUCCACCACAUUUUUCUCUAAGGAUGCUUUGAAAUCUCCUUGUACAGGGCAGUUUAAGGCUCCUUCUGUGCCUCAGAAGAAGAUCAGCCACUGUUCUGUACAGUCACUGAGGGGUUUGCCACAACUGAUACCACUUUGUGUCUCCAGAGUUUUACUGAUUCCAUCACACCAGGGUUUUUUUCCACUUCUCUCUGCCCAGAAAUGAGAAGAUUAAAACACAGUUUGUGACUGGCUGGAAGGGACCCUCCAAGGGCAUCUUGCC
Long non-coding RNA from Pogoniulus pusillus (Red-fronted tinkerbird), 620 nucleotides. RefSeq lists it as uncharacterized. The transcript is spliced from 4 exons. The record is from RefSeq and is a predicted model, not a curated record. NCBI's taxonomy places the organism in Eukaryota, Metazoa, Chordata, Aves, Piciformes, Lybiidae.